GACGAACGCUGGCGGCGUGCCUAAUACAUGCAAGUAGAACGCUGAAGGAGGAGCUUGCUUCUCCGGAUGAGUUGCGAACGGGUGAGUAACGCGUAGGUAACCUGCCUGGUAGUGGGGGAUAACUAUUGGAAACGAUAGCUAAUACCGCAUAAUAGCAGUUGUUGCAUGACAACUGUUUGAAAGGUGCAAUUGCACCACUACCAGAUGGACCUGCGUUGUAUUAGCUAGUUGGUGGGGUAACGGCUCACCAAGGCGACGAUACAUAGCCGACCUGAGAGGGUGAUCGGCCACACUGGGACUGAGACACGGCCCAGACUCCUACGGGAGGCAGCAGUAGGGAAUCUUCGGCAAUGGACGGAAGUCUGACCGAGCAACGCCGCGUGAGUGAAGAAGGUUUUCGGAUCGUAAAGCUCUGUUGUAAGAGAAGAACGAGUGUGAGAGUGGAAAG
RNAcentral lists this ribosomal RNA (448 nucleotides) under uncultured bacterium. RNAcentral describes it as "bacterial SSU rRNA". It matches the Rfam family "Bacterial small subunit ribosomal RNA", at positions 28 to 464 of the family's 1533-position model. The record is from RNAcentral.